Molecule: ribosomal RNA, 510 nt
Filed under: uncultured bacterium
Lineage: Bacteria
Description: partial 16S ribosomal RNA
Rfam family: Bacterial small subunit ribosomal RNA
Source: RNAcentral
GACGAACGCUGGCGGCGUGCUUAACACAUGCAAGUCGAACGAAGAGCGAUGGAAGCUUGCUUCUAUCAAUCUUAGUGGCGAACGGGUGAGUAACGCGUAAUCAACCUGCCCUUCAGAGGGGGACAACAGUUGGAAACGACUGCUAAUACCGCAUACGAUCUAAUCUCGGCAUCGAGGAUAGAUGAAAGGUGGCCUCUACAUGUAAGCUAUCACUGAAGGAGGGGAUUGCGUCUGAUUAGCUAGUUGGAGGGGUAACGGCCCACCAAGGCGAUGAUCAGUAGCCGGUCUGAGAGGAUGAACGGCCACAUUGGGACUGAGACACGGCCCAGACUCCUACGGGAGGCAGCAGUGGGGAAUCUUCCGCAAUGGACGAAAGUCUGACGGAGCAACGCCGCGUGAGUGAUGACGGCCUUCGGGCUGUAAAGCUCUGUUAAUCGGGACGAAAGGCCUUCUUGCGAAUAGUGAGAAGGAUUGACGGUACCGGAAUAGAAAGCCACGGCUAACUACGUG